AGAGUUUGAUCCUGGCUCAGAACGUACGCUGGCGGCACGCCUAACACAUGCAAGUCGAACGCAGUAGCAAUACUGAGUGGCAAACGGGUGAGUAUAAUGUGGGAAUCUGCCUUUUGGUUUGGAAUAACACGGGGAAACUUGUGCUAAUACCGAAUAAGCCCUUACGGGGAAAGUUUUAAUGCCAAAAGAUGAGCCCGCACUUGAUUAGCUAGUUGGUAAGGUAAAAGCUUACCAAGGCUACGAUCAAUAGCUGUUCUUAGAGGAAGACCAGCCACAUUGGGACUGAGACACGGCCCAGACUCCUACGGGGGGCAGCAGUGGGGAAUCUUGCACAAUGGGGGAAACCCUGAUGCAGCGAUGCCGCGUGAGUGAAGAAGGCCUUUGGGUUGUAAAACUCUUUCGUCGGGGAAGAAAAUGACCGUACCCGAAUAAGAAGGUCCGGCUAACUUCGUGCCAGCAGCCGCGGUAAUACGAAGGGACCUAGCGUAGCUCGGAAUUACUGGGCUUAAAGAGCUCGUAGGUGGUUAAAAAAGUUGAUGGUGAAAUCCCAAGGCUCAACCUUGGAACUGCCAUCAAAACUUUUUAGCUAGAGUGUGAUAGAGGUAAGUGGAAUUUCUAGUGUAGAGGUGAAAUUCGUAGAUAUUAGAAAGAACACCAAAUGCGAAGGCAACUUACUGGGUCACUACUGACACUGAGGAGCGAAAGCAUGGGUAGCGAAGAGGAUUAGAUACCCUCGUAGUCCAUGCCGUAAACGAUGUGUGCUAGACGUUGGAAA
This 775-nucleotide ribosomal RNA is filed under the name uncultured Alphaproteobacteria bacterium. Its description in RNAcentral is "bacterial SSU rRNA". It matches the Rfam family "Bacterial small subunit ribosomal RNA", at positions 8 to 829 of the family's 1533-position model. The record is from RNAcentral. Lineage: Bacteria; Pseudomonadati; Pseudomonadota; Alphaproteobacteria.